GGGUGUUAGCUCAGUUGGUUAGAGCGCCGGCCUGUCACGUCGGAGGUCGCGGGUUCGAGUCCCGUACAU
RNAcentral lists this transfer RNA (69 nucleotides) under human gut metagenome. It matches the Rfam family "tRNA", at positions 5 to 66 of the family's 71-position model. Rfam says of the family: Transfer RNA (tRNA) molecules are approximately 80 nucleotides in length. Their secondary structure includes four short double-helical elements and three loops (D, anti-codon, and T loops). Further hydrogen bonds mediate the characteristic L-shaped molecular structure. tRNAs have two regions of fundamental functional importance: the anti-codon, which is responsible for specific mRNA codon recognition, and the 3' end, to which the tRNAs corresponding amino acid is attached (by aminoacyl-tRNA synthetases). tRNAs cope with the degeneracy of the genetic code in two manners: having more than one tRNA (with a specific anti-codon) for a particular amino acid; and 'wobble' base-pairing, i.e. permitting non-standard base-pairing at the 3rd anti-codon position. RNAcentral also lists the same sequence under 1 other name. The record is from RNAcentral.